UGGGGAAUUUUGGACAAUGGGCGCAAGCCUGAUCCAGCAAUGCCGCGUGCAGGACGAAGGCCUUCGGGUUGUAAACUGCUUUUGUACGGAACGAAACGGUCUUUUCUAAUAAAGAGGGCUAAUGACGGUACCGUAAGAAUAAGCACCGGCUAACUACGUGCCAGCAGCCGCGGUAAUACGUAGGGUGCGAGCGUUAAUCGGAAUUACUGGGCGUAAAGCGUGCGCAGGCGGUUAUAUAAGACAGAUGUGAAAUCCCUGGGCUCAACCUAGGACCUGCAUUUGUGACUGUAUAGCUAGAGUACGGUAGAGGGGGAUGGAAUUCCGCGUGUAGCAGUGAAAUGCGUAGAUAUGCGGAGGAACACCGAUGGCGAAGGCAAUCCCCUGGACCUGUACUGACGCUCAUGCACGAAAGCGUGGGGAGCAAACA
RNAcentral lists this ribosomal RNA (427 nucleotides) under uncultured Comamonadaceae bacterium. Its description in RNAcentral is "partial 16S ribosomal RNA". It matches the Rfam family "Bacterial small subunit ribosomal RNA", at positions 355 to 774 of the family's 1533-position model. Lineage: Bacteria; Pseudomonadati; Pseudomonadota; Betaproteobacteria; Burkholderiales; Comamonadaceae. The record is from RNAcentral.